Molecule: long non-coding RNA, 1626 nt
Organism: Drosophila biarmipes
Lineage: Eukaryota; Metazoa; Arthropoda; Insecta; Diptera; Drosophilidae
Exons: 4
Source: RefSeq, a predicted model, not a curated record
GUCAUCACUUUUGACUUCUGCAGGCUUUUUUUUUUUUGGGUUUCGGCUCGUCCUUUUAUUCAGCACUCUGGCGUUUCGUUUUGGGAUCAUAUUGAAAACACCACGUUUCGUCACCAGUCACAAUCUUGUAAAGGAAGUUCGGGUAUUCUUUUUGCCUCUUUAAUGAUGUCCUACGAAUGUUGAAUUCUGAGAAAUUUUUGGACGUCAGAUAAUUUGUGCGGAAUAAACCGUGCACACACCUUUUGUAAGCCCAAAUGUUCGGUCAAAAUGCGAUAAACCGAUGUUUUGGAGAUGUUUAAUUCUAUUUCCCUGAAUUUCAAUGAUGAUUUUCCCUGAUUUUUUAUGAAUUGACGCACAGUUUCGAUGGAAUUUUCGGUGAUCACGGAUUAUGGUUGACCCACAGGUUCAUCGUCAUUUAUGUCCUCACGACCACUUUGAAAACGUUGAAACCACUCGUGCACUCUGCUACGGGAUAGGCAAUCAUCGACAUAAACUUGUUUCAUCAAUUGAAACGUUUCGGUAAAAGUUUUAUCAAUUUUAAAACAAAAUUUAAUGUUGGCUCUUUGUUCGAAGCUUAUUAACUUUUACUAGAAGUCGAUAAACGAUAGCAAAUUCUAAGGCCCCAGUUGACAUAAAGAUGGCGCCGCUAGAGGGAGCUAGAUUAAAAAUUCCUGUUUACUUUGGAACUCACCUUGUAUUUUGUCAACAGUAUGCUAUUCUACAAUAGUACUAAUUGCUCAUGUGCAUAACAGGAAAAAACAAAGGACAUUUGUGGCCUACACGUUGAGGUGCUGCUUAUUGGGGACUCUGCUUAUCGAUUUUCCCAAACGCUGAUAAAGCCGUACCCAUUUUUCAAAAUUGCAUCCGAGGAACACCGAAAUUUUUACUACAAUCUGAACAAAGCUCGGCGAGUUGUAGAAAAUGCAUUUGGCCAUUUAAAGGCAAGCUUUCGUUUCAUCGGGAAAGGUCUGGACAGCCAUUACAAAAAUAGUACUGCAGUCAUUCUAGCCUGAUGCAUUUUGCACAUUUUAAAUGAGCACAACAGCGCUAUUAAUGAUAAUUGGCAACAGACUGCACGUGACUUACGCAAACAACCAUAUCGGACUAUUAUGUCUGCAAAUUUUAACCAGCCUGCAGAAAAAAUAAGAGUAGGGGGCGCAGUACUGCCAGAGCUUUGACUUCCGCUGCAGAUGGAGGAUUCUGUCUCAUCGAGGUCCACAUUAAAGAGCUCCACCAAUAACUCCCUAGUAUCUGCAAUAAAUAUAUUUUAUAUGAGUCUUGGAAAUACUCUCGUUGUCCACGGUGUUCUGCUCUCUCGUAGUUCUGCCAUAUGGAAGGAGCCCCACCGCUUGGCCCAAUUUCAUUUUUUCCUGCCUGCAAGCAAUAAUAUCAUGAAGUUUUCUAUUUUUGUCCCGCUUCCAUUAAGGACUGGAGGAUCUCCACGUACGUCAACCAAAUCGCUUAACUAGGCAGCUUAUGGCUUUCAUAAACAAAAUUUUCAAACUAUGCAUUUUCCAUUGGCUUUGAGGUCCGAACUUGGUUCCCCAGCUAAGUUAAAUCAAUCAAAAUUAAAGUAAACAUCAGCUUCUGUUGGAAGCGCAAUUAAUUGCGCCUUUUCAAACUCUA